UGCUUCUAGUGAUUACUUGCAGGAUUCUAUGGUGCAGAAAAGCUGAAUUUCAUUUCUUAGCUUAUUCCUUAAAAUUGUUGGUUGAUGGAUCUUUCCUCAGCUUGCCUCAAAAGUCCUUGCUCAUCUCCACUCUAAGGCAUGGCUGCCUUUUUCCAGUAGGUAGCCCUGAACAUCACUAACACCAAGAGUGUGGAGCUCUCCAGGUGCAGAACUUGAAUAGCAGUUGAUAAUGAAAAGGAUGGUAAAGAGACGUUCACCCUCUUUUUGUGCCCCUGUCUGUCCUGGAUUUUUCCAUUGGCUUGCGGGAAUGGCACACAAAUUCCAGAGAGACUCAGGGUGAAAUAAUCCAUUUCUGGUCAUUCUACUUAUCCAGUCUCUGAAGGCACAUUGCUAUGAAAAACAAAGCAGAAAUAACAUGUACUCCACUUCUUUGCAUCUCAGAAGAGAGAAUAAAUCGAAUAAGACGUCUUCCAUUGUAAGAAAAAAAUUGCAUCACCCUGGAUGGCUGGGUCUUGCCAACUGACUUCUACUUGGGCUCAAUCUACAGGACUUACUGACAAAAAAUUAUAAAGCAGGAGGAAAAAGAGGUUGUGAUGCUUCAUCCCUAUGUUUGCCCACUUUAGGCCUCCUUUUUGGCAAUGACUGCAUCCUUUUAUGAGCUCAGCUCCUGUCUAUCUCUUUCUCCUUGCCUACAGAUCUCACUGGGGUCCUAUUGACACUAUCUCCUCCCCUUGCUCAUUCAGAACUAAAGAUGCUAAUUGCUUCCCACAGUUGUGCUUGUCUAGGUAUCUCAGCACUCCUUGUUACUCCCCUUAAACUCCCUUCACCCACACACACACACAUCUUUGAGUGAAGUAUUUGCUUCAUCAAAAUAUCUUGCAUCAUUUGAAUUGAAGUUUUCUUUUCUAUAGAAACUCUAGAUAAUAUAAUCAACAUAACUUGUUAUUAUAUGAAUUAUGAAUGUCGCUCCAGUAGAAGCUAGUGUUGAGCAAUUAACACAAAGUAAUGAAGCAAAGCCACUGUCUCUCAAAGAGAUGUUUUGUAGACCCAUGUUCCUAAGUACCAUUAUUCACAGCUAAAAUGCAAGAGCAACUCAGAUGUCCAUUGACAAAUACAUAAGCAAAACAUUUUACAUAAAAUGGAAUACUAUUCAGUUUCAAAAAGGAAAGAAAUACUACAUAAACUACAAUAGAGAUGAACCUUGAAGACAUUGUGCUAAGAGAAAUAAACCACUUGGAAAACAAGCAGUCUGAUUUUCCUUUUAUGAGGUAUUUAGACUAGUCAAAAAUCAUUGAGAAAAAAAGGUAAAAUGGUUUUUGAGAUGGUUUAGGGAACAGGGGAAUUGGCAGUUAUUGUUUAAUGGGUUCAGAGUUUCACUUUUGCAAGAUGAAAAGAGUUCUGGAGAUGAGUGGUACUGAUAGUUACACAACAAUGUGAAUUUACGUAAUACCACUGAGCUGUACACUUAAAAUGCUGAAGAUAGCAAAGUGUAUGUUAAGUGUAUUUUAGUAUAAUUUUUUUUAAUUGGGGGAAAAUGCCUCCUGUCAUAUUGCAGAAAAAUACUUUCUGUUCUUAUAUUCAAGAAAGUAUGUUUCAUUUGUCUAAGAGCCUAGAAAAAUCAGAGAAGCAUAUUCUAAAAAGUUUAAUAAAAACUGCUAAAUUUGUAAGUCAAAGGUCUUUAAUAAGGAUGGUAAUCUGUAAUCUAUUUUUUCACAGCACAGUCUAGAAAUAGAGCAAUGAAUAGAAAGUUUCAUAUUAGUCUUAUCUAACCUAUAAAAAUCUAAAAGUUUUUUUUAAGCAGAAACUCUUUAGAAACUUAAAUUUCCAAUUUCUCAGUAACAGAUCAUAGAGGAAUGGAAUCUACCUAUAAUUCUAGGCUUUAUCAGCACUUAAGCAAUACAUACAAUUGCCUCUAUCUAAAAUGCACCAAUAGACAUCUCUUCCCAAAGGUCAAUCUUAUGUCAAUCACAGUCAUCAUGGAUAAGCUAUAAAUGUUGUCUCAAAUGAAUCCCUGAGUGAGUACAGACCAACCAAAUCACAAAAUCUUCCUGUGUACUUUGACUAGAGAGUUCCUCACAGAAAGACACUGAACACAAAUAUUAGUUUUUUAAAAAAAAAAAUCUACUUCACAAGUACAUGAGCUUCCAGUUAAAAUGUUUCCUUUUUAUUUAACAAUGAUGCUUUGUUGAGCUUUAUCUUUGUUUUAUCUAAAACAAAAUAUAAUAAAUUUUUGAAAAGUAUCAGUGUAAAAGUCAGUACACUUUAAAGAUAAAUAUGUAAGCAAAUGCAUUUUAUAUAUUUUACUUCAUUCUUGACUAACAUUUAUUAAUUGUACACAUUAAUAGGUUUCAUAUUGAUAUUCCUACUUAUGCAUACUUCAUGCAUUGUUCAAAUCCAUCAUCCCUUUAACCCACCCUGACCUCUAGUAAUCAUUAUUUUACAGAUUGACUUUUUUAAAUCUUCCAUACAUAUGUGAUACUUGUCUUUUGGUAUCUAGCUUAUUUCACAUAACCUAAUGUCAUCCAAUUCCAUCCACUUUGCUCAAAAGACAGAGUUUCAUUCUUCUAUGUGGCAAAUAGCAUUCCAUCAUGUGUAUGUGUGUGUGAGUGUGAGUGUGUGUGUGUGUGUAUCUGUGUGUGUGUGUGUGUGUGUGUGUACUAAUCGACAGGCACCUAGGUUGAUUCCAUAUCUUAGUUAUUAUAAUAGUGAUAAAAUAAACAUGUGCCUGCACCAUCUCUUUACUAUGGUGACUUCAUUUCCUUUGGAUAUAUACCCAGAAGCAAGAUAGCCGGAUCACAAACUAGAUAAUAAUCAG
Molecule: long non-coding RNA, 2815 nt
Organism: Marmota monax (woodchuck)
Lineage: Eukaryota; Metazoa; Chordata; Mammalia; Rodentia; Sciuridae
Exons: 5
Source: RefSeq, a predicted model, not a curated record